UAUAGUGUUGGAUCAGGUGUGAAGAAAGACUCCCAAAUAAACUUGUUGGUGGAUAGAUCACGUGAAUCAAAUACAACCAACGCACCCUCACAUGUCUCCCUAAACAUCAUAAAAAUUUCACCACAAUCCUUCAAGAAAAACCUACUGCCCAGAAGUCUUCUUCCUUCCCCUGCUUAUCUCACUAGACCUGCGGUGCAUACUGGGAAGGAAAGAAUUCGAGCUUUAAUUGCAAAGAAGUUCAAGAAACAGGGCCAUCCUCUUCAGUUAAGGAAAUAGGUCAUAAGGAAGUCAGAACCACACCUUAAGGAGAAGAAUAAGUCGAGUUACAUUCUUUGGAGAUGAAGGUAACCAAAAUCAAUCCCCUUUGAGAACUAGUCUAGUGUAGAUUUGUGGAGAAAUCAUUAAGAACGAUUUUGAGGAUGAAUUUCUUUGGUUUACAUUAUUAUUAGCUACUGUAUAUUGAUGUUAAACAGGUGUGACCAUUUCAUGUUAAGGAACCAAGUGGAAGUGAUGUUCUUUUUAUAUAUUAGGAACUAGUUAAGUGUGUUUAAUCGAUUUUUCAUAAGAAAUUUGUGUGUACUUGUAUUUUGAGUAUUUUGAAUGAUGCUGGCUUGGUUGGGGCAGUAGCUUAGAUGGUGAUUAAGAGGUUGCAUGUAUAUGUGUUAAUAGUUAAAAAGUUUCUUGUUUUGGUAGUUGAAUUCUUAAACUAAAUGGGUCAUAAAAUCACUUUUAUUCCAUGUUUUCAAUAAGGAAAGGCCUAUUAAGUUAUGAGAGGAAUGUUUUGAAAUUUGUUACAAGGAAUUCUUGAUAUUGGAAUACUGUAUUUCAUUAGUGGAUAUUGUUAAAAGUUGCUUCCUCAUUCCUUAACACCCCAAAUGUGGGAAAAAAGACUUUAAAACCAUGUUUUAAGGACGAACUAUGUUUGAUUCCCUAGAAAGUUUUUGAAGAAAGAUAUUUCUUCUAGUAAUUGAAAAUUUAUAGUAUGUUGGAGACUUAACAACUUAUAUUCUCAAAGGUUAAUUCCAAGUUAAGGGUUUGUUCAAACUAAAUGUUCUUUUAGGAAGUCCAAAAUCUCCUUUAAUUUUUACUCACGUUACUCUAAGUCACUAGGGGAAAAAAAAGGAAAGGCUGCGGAGGAAGAGUUGCGCUUUUUCUAAAAGCGCAGCCCUACUAGUGAAGGGUUGCGCUUUUGAAGAAAAGCGCAACCCUUCACUUAGUAUGGCUGCGCUUUUCUUCAAAAGCGCAGCCCUUCUUACUUCAGAAGGGCUGCACUUUUCCUAAAAGCGCAGCCCUACUAAGUGAAGGACUGCGCUUUUAUAAAAAGCGCAGCCCUUCUGACUAAGUAGGGCUGCGCUUUGAAGAAAAGCGCAGCCUUUCUUAAAAAAAUUUGAAAUAAAAAAAUCGCGGGCUUUGAAAUAUUAGCGGGCUUCAGAUAUAUUAUCCCUCAUUCUCUCUCCUCUCUCACGUCCCUCAUCCAUUUUCCUCCUUCUCUCCCCUCUCUCACAACCCUCCUCCCUUUCCUCCUUCUCUCUCAUCCUCUCUUCUCUCUCAAAAAUUCCCAGAAAAUGCGACAAACGCGACGAAAAGCCUGAAAUGAUUUGCACGAAUCAUGCCGACGGAGUCCGAUUGCCUAUUGUGAUACCUUUUCGGAAGCGGAACGGGCCAACGAGUCAAACUCACCGCUAUGCCGUGAUGUUUACGCUUUUUAAGCCAUUCGAGUUCGUUUAAGCCUCCAAAUAGCCAUUUUAAGUUUUUCCGAAUUUUUUUUCCUUAAUUAUGUAUUAGGGUUUUGUUUUAUGUAUUUAAACAUUAUUAGGUUAAUGUUUGGAGGUAGUUCUUGUAUUUUCAGAUCUAUAAUGUUCUUGUAUAUACUUCUCUUUGUUUUGAUUAAUAUUCUUGUAUA
Beta vulgaris subsp. vulgaris (sugar beet) is the source of this 1903-nucleotide long non-coding RNA. RefSeq lists it as uncharacterized. The record is from RefSeq and is a predicted model, not a curated record. Lineage: Eukaryota; Viridiplantae; Streptophyta; Magnoliopsida; Caryophyllales; Amaranthaceae. The transcript has 3 exons.